Molecule: ribosomal RNA, 117 nt
Filed under: Nitrospinae bacterium RIFCSPLOWO2_12_FULL_45_22
Lineage: Bacteria; Pseudomonadati; Nitrospinota
Source: RNAcentral
CACGGUGGCCAUAGCGAAGGGGAAACACCCGUUCCCAUCCCGAAUACGGAAGUUAAGCCCUUCUGCGCCGAUGGUACUGCAUGGGUAACUGUGUGGGAGAGUAGGAUGCUGCCGUGG